UAAGCAAUUAUACAGCGAAACUGCGAAUGGCUCAUUAUAUAAGUUAUCGUUUAUUUGAUAGUACCUUACUACUUGGAUAACCGUGGUAAUUCUAGAGCUAAUACAUGCUGAAAAUCCCGACUUCGGAAGGGAUGUAUUUAUUAGAUUCAAAACCAAUGCCCCCUGGGCUCACUGGUGAUUCAUGAUAACUCCUCGAAUCGCACGGCCUUGCGCCGGCGAUGGUUCAUUCAAAUUUCUUCCCUAUCAACUUUCGAUGUUUGGGUAGUGGCCAAACAUGGUUGCAACGGGUAACGGAGGGUUAGGGCUCGACCCCGGAGAAGGAGCCUGAGAAACGGCUACUACAUCCAAGGAAGGCAGCAGGCGCGCAAAUUACCCAAUCCCGACACGGGGAGGUAGUGACAAUAAAUACUGAUACAGGGCUCUUUUGGGUCUUGUAAUUGGAAUGAGUACAAUUUAAAUCCCUUAACGAGGAACAAUUGGAGGGCAAGUCUGGUGCCAGCAGCCGCGGUAAUUCCAGCUCCAAUAGCGUAUAUUAAAGUUGUUGUGGUUAAAAAGCUCGUAGUUGAACCUUGGGCCUGGCUGGCCGGUCCGCCUCACCGCGUGUACUGGUCCGGCCGGGCCUUUCCCUCUGUGGAACCCCAUGCCCUUCACUGGGCGUGGCGGGGAAACAGGACUUUUACUUUGAAAAAAUUAGAGUGCUCCAGGCAGGCCUAUGCUCGAAUACAUUAGCAUGGAAUAAUGAAAUAGGACGCGCGGUUCUAUUUUGUUGGUUUCUAGGACCGCCGUAAUGAUUAAUAGGGACAGUCGGGGGCAUCAGUAUUCAAUAGUCAGAGGUGAAAUUCUUGGAUCUAUUGAAGACUAACUACUGCGAAAGCAUUUGUCAAGGAUGUUUUCAUUAAUCACGAACGAAAGUUAGGGGAUCGAAGACGAUCAGAUACCGUCGUAGUCUUAACCA
Molecule: ribosomal RNA, 955 nt
Filed under: Ophiocordyceps xuefengensis
Lineage: Eukaryota; Fungi; Ascomycota; Sordariomycetes; Hypocreales; Ophiocordycipitaceae
Description: SSU rRNA
Rfam family: Eukaryotic small subunit ribosomal RNA
Source: RNAcentral